Molecule: non-coding RNA, 3846 nt
Organism: Microcebus murinus (gray mouse lemur)
Lineage: Eukaryota; Metazoa; Chordata; Mammalia; Primates; Cheirogaleidae
Source: RefSeq, a predicted model, not a curated record
CUUUAUUUAUUUAUUUUUAAUAUUGUCCUUUCAAGGAUGUCUCUAUUUGCAUAGUUUGAUCCUCUUCCCCUACCCAGCACCAACAUUAGUGUGACCUUUUCCUGCUAAUUGGAAAAUCUUACGGAAAUAAACCCUGUCAGAAAAUGAGAAGUGACUCCCCCUUUGGAUGGCCAAACGACCUCAGAGGGGGAAAGAAGUUCUGAAUUUCUGCUCCUUUUGCACACACUGCAAAAUCUUUAUUACUUCGGAGAGCCUUGAAGCUCAGUAAUGCCCCUCCAGUGCAAAGCGGAGUAAAUAAAUUUCUUCUUAUGACCACUUUGGAGAAACACACAACCAGAUUUACUCAGCAGGGAUACAUAGUGGACAGGAUAAUGAAGAGAGAAUAAGAAUAUGAUCGGGGUUUACAGCCUCUUCUGUCUCUUUAAAGAGUUUUAAUCCUUCAGAAACAGGAUACGGGGUCCAUUUCCUUAAAGAUACAGUGUCCCUUCUGGGACGAGUAAUGUUAUAAAAAGCUAAGAUGUAACAUCUAUCUCGCAAUAUUGAUUGGCACUUUAGUGUGAUAAAAGGGGUUGAACCUGAAGGGGAAAAGAGGGGGAAAAGGUAAGUGAGAAUUACUCUUUGAAGAAUUCAAAGUGUCCCUUCUACCAUCGGGACAGACUCAGAGGACAGAGAAACAAAAGCGCCGUUUGGGCCGGGUGACAUUCGUCUGCAGGGGGACAUGCUGAGGGUGGGUUCCAGGGAUAACUGUUUCACCUCCACCAGGAAAUGGCUGUUAAUUUUAAAAGCAAUUCUGGCCAUUCUGAUGUCACAUGCUGGUGAUCUUUAAAAUGAGCCCAAAUGAGUCAGGCCAGAGGUUUCUGACCCAAUGUCGUGGGCCUGAACGACAAGGUCCUGUCUCGUGCCGGCUAAGCCAAACGCUCCAGUGACCUAACUGGGUGGCUUCAAUGCCCCAGAUUUGGUGACGCUGAUUUCACAGACUCUCCUGUACGCCCCCACUCCUCCCCCAGCACCCCGAGCGUGGCCCUGCGUCACUCUCUCCCCGCCAGACGGCAGGACUGGCUGCCUCCGUGACAAACGAUGGAACCUGACCUUUGCCGAACGCUCACUAUGCUUCAGGUGUUUGCACUUAAUCCUCACAACGACUUCGGGGCAGGGCAGGGUUACUGACCCAGUUUGCAGAGUAGGAAACGGGAGGCUCAGAUCUUGCCCAAGAAGACACAGUGUGAAAGGGCAGAGCUGAGAUUGAAACCAAGUCUGCCUGGGUCUAAAGCCCAGGCUCUGACACACUCCUUAUGCGGAGAUCGGGCUCCUAAGGGGCAGGUGAGGUGGCCCCCCUGGGACUCAGCUCCUGAGACCCGACAUCCUCCAAAGAACCCCACCCCAUCUCCCUUCCGAUUUGCGGAGGACCCCAAGUGUCCCCCCAGCUCCUCUGCUUAGGAAGUUACUUCUCUCUGCAGCCCACGCAGCAGCCCUUCUCUCCUUUUACCAUCUACCAGGAAAAUGGAAUGAGGUCGCCGCCGGUUUUGUAAGUGACCACCUUACAACCCAUUUCUAUUUUUACUCUGGGUAAAAAACCACCAACACGCGACACAAGACUGACUCAGGCCUGCCUCUACGUGGACCUCCCCCAGAGCAGGGCACCCUUAGAACUCUUUGCCUUUGCAGUCUGAUUGGCUUUCUUCCUUCAAGGCACAAUGAAUAGUCACCUCCUCUGAGAAGCCUGUCAGGAUUGCCUCAGCCUGAAUCACAGUGUGCAAAUAAAUAUCUCUCCACUCUGACCCAACCAGCUCUUUAUACCUUCUCCCCAGCCCCAGCCUUCUUUAUCACCCUAUAGAGGGAUCAUUUGUUCACAUGUUACUUCUCUUUCCUUCUACUGAGGAUUUGUUAGAACAGGGACCGUGCCUUUUUUUUUAAAUUGAGGUCCUGAAUUAGGUAUGCUUGUCGGUUAAAUAAAUGAAGGUGUGAAUGAGUUAACCAGCACUUCUAAAAGCCCACUGCGUGCCAAGCCAGUGACAGGCCUCAGAGUCACUGAGUCACACAGAACAAUCUUUGACUUAGAAAUCUUCCCACCUCUGGAGAGUUCUGACCCCAGGGAUCAGACUGGAUUCUCUGGCUGGGGACAAAUGGAGUUCUGCAGCAGGUGAAUGACACUGUGGCAGACUGUGGCUAAGUGUGCACCAAACCAUUUUCUUUUCUUUCUAAGCAUGUGGCUGGACCACAUGUUCUAGCCUCCCUUGAAGUUAGACGUGCUCAUCUGACCGAGUGCUGGACUGUGAGCAGGUGUGACAUGCAUCACCUCCAGGCCUGACCCUAAAACCAUCCCACUGCUCCUCCCUGUUCUUUCCCCAUCUGACAAUGGCCUGAGAAGGUUCCAGGGACCCAGCAGAGGACAGAGCCACAGGAUAGAAGGAGCCUGGGCUGCUGAAACCCCAGAAGUUGGGGAGACCCUGUAGGGACCUGCCCUGGGGACCUGCUCAAGCAGGCUUUCUAGCCUUGAGUGAACAAGAAAUAUGAACCUUAAUGUAUUAAGCUGCUCAAAAGUUGGAGUUGUGUGUUAUAGCGGGUGACCUGCCCUAACAGUGACAUGUGUGUGCGUAUAAGUGCAUGUGUGUGAACACAAGAUCUCUGAGCCCCGACACGUGCUCAGAGGGACACCCAGACAAUCCAGGCAGGCCUGGCCCACAUUCCUUUUUCACUUGCAGCUUCCAGACUCGAGGGUCCUACACACACACGCUGGCCACUUCCCUGGAGAAGCCUGGCCCCCUGCCCUACCUCUCUGUCAGCUGUCAGAGCAAGCGUCAUGCUAACUCAAAAUGCUACUUCACAAUCGAGUCCUUGUUUUGGAAACUGACUACACUCCCCGUGGGCCCUACUUUGUCUUGCUGCCUUUGGAGAGCCCGCUUGUCUUGCCUGUCGGCGGACCGCAGAGCUAAAUAGGGGGGUGGGGCGUGGGGGGGCAGGCUUUGCUCAUCUCUUGCCUGCAGCCGUGAGCCCCAGAGACGGGUGGGACUGGACACGGUUAAUAAGGAGUAGAGGCUGCUCUCUACUCAGUGGGAAAGGCCUCUUGCUCUGGAGUUUGCAGAAAAAUCCUCAGGACGUCUAAGCAUGCUCCUCCUACCUCUCUCCGUUUUCAGGACUCCUGUUCCAGGCUUGCGGGAGUGAGUUUUUGUUGUUACUGUGCUGUGUUUUCACUGGCAGGGCCACCAUGAACUAGGAAGAGGCAUCACUGUGCUUUCGAAAGCUGUACCUUCAGUGGGCAAAGUGAUCCAGGACUCCUAGAAUUUCAGAAGCACAGGAUCUUGGGAUCUCUGAAUUCCGGAACCUUGGAAUUGUAGAUUCAAGGAAUCUUGGAAACAGAGAAUCCUUUUUUAAAGCAGUCUCUAAGGCUGUCAGUUUCUGGGGCUGCAGCAGCCGGACAGGAAGUGACAGGAAGUGACAUGCCGGAUCUCCAGUGACAAGUUUCAGGCAGAAGCAUGGAAUGGCACCAGGGGCACACACUUGUGGCCUCCACACAUUGCUGGGACAUUUGGCGGCUCAGCCGUGGACGGGCUUCCUAUGGGCUGCUCCCUUUUUCACUUUGUUACUCUGUUAAAGACGGUGCAAUGCAACUGAAAAUGCCAAGCUGCUCAGUUUUCACACCCCAAGGAACUUCAGGGGCCAAGCUAUCCCAGCCUGUGGAAGAUCAAAGUCAGGCAAGUUUUGCCUUUUCUGUUUGCUCUGCAAUUGCUGUGGGCAUUUCCAUGGAAUCUCAGAGAGAAAAGAAAGCGAAACUCCAAGCUGCAGCUGAGGCAUGCCUGGCAUGGUUUAUGCGACGGGAACAGGUACGAGGCUCCACUACAGACCUGC